GAUGAACGCUGGCGGCGUGCCUAAUACAUGCAAGUCGAGCGAACGGACGAGAAGCUUGCUUCUCUGAUGUUAGCGGCGGACGGGUGAGUAACACGUGGAUAACCUACCUAUAAGACUGGGAUAACUUCGGGAAACCGUAGCUAAUACCGGAUAAUAUUUUGAACCGCAUGGUUCAAAAGUGAAAGACGGUCUUGCUGUCACUUAUAGAUGGAUCCGCGCUGCAUUAGCUAGUUGGUAAGGUAACGGCUUACCAAGGCAACGAUGCAUAGCCGACCUGAGAGGGUGAACGGCGACAGUGGAACUGAGACACGGUCCAGACUCCUACGGGAGGCAGCAGUAGGGAAUCGUCCGCAAUGGGCGAAAGCCUGACGGAGCAACGCCGCGUGAGUGAUGAAGGUCUUCGGAUCGUAAAACUCUGUUAUUGGGGAAGAACAUACGUGUAAGUAACUGUGCACAUCUUGACGGUACCUAAUCAGAAAGCCACGGCUAACUACGUG
Molecule: ribosomal RNA, 497 nt
Filed under: uncultured bacterium
Lineage: Bacteria
Description: partial 16S ribosomal RNA
Rfam family: Bacterial small subunit ribosomal RNA
Source: RNAcentral